CGGUGGAGCAUGUGGUUUAAUUCGAUGAUACGCGAGGAACCUUACCUGGGCUCAAAUGUAUGUUGACGUAUUCUGAAAGGGAUACUUCUUCGGACAAUAUACAAGGUGCUGCAUGGUUGUCGUCAGCUCGUGCCGUGAGGUGUCGGGUUAAGUCCCAUAACGAGCGCAACCCCUAUCAUUAGUUGCCAUCAGGUCAAGCUGGGGACUCUAAUGAAACUGCCUACGCAAGUAGUGAGGAAGGUGGGGAUGACGUCAAAUCAGCACGGCCCUUACGUCCAGGGCUACACACGUGCUACAAUGGCCGAUACAGAGGGCAGCUACCUGGUGACAGGAUGCAAAUCUCCAAAGUCGGUCUCAGUUCGGAUCGGAGUCUGCAACCCGACUCCGUGAAGUUGGAUUCGCUAGUAAUCGCGCAUCAGCCGUGGCGCGGUGAAUACGUUCCCGGGCCUU
RNAcentral lists this ribosomal RNA (450 nucleotides) under uncultured Sphingobacteriales bacterium. RNAcentral's name for it is "bacterial SSU rRNA". It matches the Rfam family "Bacterial small subunit ribosomal RNA", at positions 930 to 1382 of the family's 1533-position model. The record is from RNAcentral. Lineage: Bacteria; Pseudomonadati; Bacteroidota; Sphingobacteriia; Sphingobacteriales.